CACACACACACACACACGUGUAUUAAUGAGUCGGUUCACAAGUCCAGGCAUGACCUCUCCGAGUCUCGGGAGGUGGGGGUGUGUGGUGUAAUCCGUGCGAAUUAUGCGGGCGCAAAUUCAAGGUGUGCGAUCUGGCAGAAGAAACGAAACCCGAGGCAGAACGGGGCGAUAUGGAAAAAAGACAACAGAAGAGCGUGCACAAGAACAAGCCAUCACACCUACUGAAAAUCUUCAAGGAUAAGUGGUUAAGUCAUGAAUCACACCGCAAGGCCAGACUCAGGACUGGAGUGGAAAAGCUUUCUGAAGAAUCCCAGACACCGGUGGGAAAUAACUCCAGGGGAAAGCAGAUUAUGCUUUUAAACAUCCCACAUGCACUUAAGGUAAAGGGAUCUCCGGCUGCAGAAGGCUUCAGACACACUUACUAAACCUGCUCAUGUACCGAUGACGUUACUUAUCUGUCUAAUAAAUUACAGCAAAUGGUUGUGUGUUUUAAGCUUUAAAAGAUCACUGAUCCACUUAAAUAUGCGCAAACACACAAUGUAAGAAAGAAAUCUGCUCCACGGGCCGGUCCUGUAAUAAUAAUGAUAAUAAUAAUGAUAAUAAUAAUAAUAAU
Molecule: long non-coding RNA, 613 nt
Organism: Tachysurus fulvidraco (yellow catfish)
Lineage: Eukaryota; Metazoa; Chordata; Actinopteri; Siluriformes; Bagridae
Exons: 3
Source: RefSeq, a predicted model, not a curated record